Long non-coding RNA from Gallus gallus (chicken), 827 nucleotides. The record is from Ensembl. Lineage: Eukaryota; Metazoa; Chordata; Aves; Galliformes; Phasianidae.
ACUGCUGCGACAUCAUGCAGAAGACGACAAAGCUGUGGGGACGUGGCUGUGGAAUACCUGUAACGUGUCCAAGGAGCAAAGAGCCAUCUUGUGACUCCCAGUCAGUUUUAGCUUUCCCUCUGAACAGAAAAUGGAAACAGAAAAAUGAAGUCUUCUGGGAGUUGCAGUUCAUUCUACUCUUCUGAGACCAAGAGACCAGAAAUAUCGACAAUUCUUGGAACCUACAUUAUUAACCUUCUAACUGCCAGUACACUACAGGAUAUUAUGAUAUGGAAUACCAAUCAAAAAUCAGAAAACCACAACAAAUUGCUGCUCAGUUGCCUGUGUGAAAGACAACGGAUCAGUAAGUGAUGGGUCUUGGAUUGUUCUGCUGAAUCUGCAGAUCAAUAUAGCCAAGCUAGGAUAGCCAGGACCCAACACAUUUGAGAUAGUAUCUAUAAGAUACCCUUAUAAGCUUAAGGAUUUUUUUGUGUGUAAUACAUGACCAACCAGGUUGUGUGGUUACAUGAAUAAACUGGUGAUGCUGUCAAUCUUCCUAGACAGAAUAAGCUGUGUUUUGUAUCCUGAAGGUUUAGUGCUAACGUCAACCUGGGAAGUGGGUGGCUAGUUCACUGUAAAGUCACUCUUGACUUCUCCCUUUGCUGUGUUCCCUGGGCAGAUAAGUCCCUACCACCAGAACUCUGUUCCUGCAGUUUACACAUUUCUUCAGACUUGCUGCGGCCUUAAGUAUAUAGCAGUGUAUUUCUGCGUGUACAAUCAGUGUACUACUGUUUCUCUUGGAGUGAUGUGAAUGAAUUAAAAUUUUUAAGGUGUUCUGAGCCUUCCGU